Homo sapiens (human) is the source of this 1714-nucleotide long non-coding RNA. NCBI's taxonomy places the organism in Eukaryota, Metazoa, Chordata, Mammalia, Primates, Hominidae. The record is from Ensembl.
AGACGAAGAUGCAGGGACACGCGCGAGGAGCCGCCGCAGCCGCCGCCGCCGCGCUGUGGAGCCCGAGUGAGCGCGGCGCCAGCCCGUCCGGCCGCUGGACAACAUGGAGGCUGCACUGCCCGGGCCGCCGUGGCCGCUGCUGCUGGCGCUGUGCGGCUGCCCGGCCCCCGCCGCAGGUACAUGUACUGGGCAGAUUGGGGUGAGACGCCCUGGAUCGAGCAGGUGGGGAUGGACGACAGCACCCAGAAGAUCAUUGUGGACUUGGACAUUUACUGGCCCAAUAGACUGACCAUCGACCUGGGGGAGAAGAAGCUCUACUGGGCUGACACUAAGCUCGGCUUCAUCCACCGUGCCAACCUGGACGGCUCGUUCCGGCAGAAGGUGGUGAAGGGCAGCCUGACGCACCCCUUCACCCUGACACUCUCCGGGGACACUCUGCACUGGAUGGACUGGCUGACGUGCUCCAUCCAUGCCUGCAACAGGAACACUGCGGGGAAGAGGAACGAGAUCUUGAGCGCCCUCUACUCAGCAUGGAUAUCCAGGUGCUGAGCCAGGAGCAGCAGCCUUUCUGAGCCAAGGAGGUCCUGCUGCUGGCCCGGUAGACGGACCAAUGGAGGGUCUCGCUGGACACACCGGACUUCACCGACAUCGUGCUGCAGCUGGACGACAUCCAGCAUGCCAUCGCCAUCAACUAUGACCCAAUGGAGGGCCACGUCUACUGGACGGAUGACGAGGUGUGGGCCAUCCGCAGGGCAUACCUGGAUGGGUCUGGGGCGCAGACGCUGAUCAACACCAAGAUCAACGACCCCGAUGACAUCGCAGUCAACUGGGUGGCCCGAAGCCUCUAUUGGACCCACACAGGCACUGAACACAUCGAGGUGACGUGCCUCAACAGCACCUCCCACAAGAUCCUGGUGUCAGAGGACAUGGACGAGCCCCGUGCCAUUGCACUGCAUCCCGAGAUGGGCCUCACGUACUGGAUAGACUGGGGAGAGAACCCUGAAAUCAAGCGUGCCAACCUGGACAGGCAGGAGCUGCGCGUGCUGGUCAAUGCUUCCCUCGGGUGGCCCAACGGCCUGGCCCUGGACCUGCAGGAAGGGAAGCUCUACUGGGGAGAUGCCAAGACAGACAAGAUCGAGGCGAUCAGUGUCGAUGAGACGAAGAGGCAGACCCUCCUGAAGGACAAGCUCCCACACAUUUUCAGGUUCACCCUGCUGGGGGACUUCAUCUACUGGACCGCCUGGCAGCACCACAGCAUCAAGCGGGUACACAAGGUCAAGGCCAACCGGGACGUCAUCAUUGACCAGCUGCCCGACCUGAUGGGGCUCAAAGCUGUGAACGUGGACAAGGUCGUCGGGCCUGGAACUGCUGAGUGACAUGAAGACCUGCAUCAUGCCCAAGGCCUUCUUGGUCUUCACCAGUAGAGCCGCCAUCCACAGGAUCUCCCUCGAGACCAACAACAACGAUGUGGCCAUCCUGCUCUCGGCGUCAAGGAGGCCUCGGCCCUGGACUUUGAUGUGUCCAGCAACCACAUCUACUGGACAGACAUCAGCCUGAAGGUAGCGUGGGCCCGAACAUGCACACGUGCAGCCUAUAUGGGAAAACCUUCCCUCUGUACCUGCCUCAAAGGUUUCAGACAUUUUUCUUAAAGCACUAUAAUAUUUAUUGUAACACAAUUCAAGCUAAUUAAAUAUGAGCAAGCCUAUUUCAAAAA